AUGAAAUCAGGGCAGAGACAAAGUAGACAGCACUGAUUCCACUGGCAUAUCAAUUUAGGGAAAGUAGUAAGCUGCCCAGAUGUUGGCCGAGCUCGAGAACAGUGAACAUUCAGGCCACACGUGCGCAUUGAGUCACCAACUCUGUGCCUCGAAGUGAGCUGGGGACAGGAAGGGUUUUACCAGAAUUAAAACGCAGUGUCUGUGUGUGUUCAAGGAAAGAGGCUAGAAUUCUAAAAUCUUAGGGGCUAGUCUGGAUCACAGAAUUGAGUGAAGAGAUUUCAUUCCAUGUGUUGCCCUAUCCGCUCAACAAACACAUCCCAAGCACUUGCUGGGGUCAGACACCUGCCCCACCCCUCCAUCUCACUCCCAUCAGGCCAUCCAGGGGAGCCGGGUGAGAACGAGAAAAAAGAAGACACCGCCCUCGCCCUCCUGUUCAGGGAGGUUCACAUCUAGAAGGUUAAGAGAUCUUUGUGCUAAAGGCCCUCUGCGAAGUGCCUGAGACACAAAAAUAAGACGGGUUCGCUGUCUUCUCAGCACCCAAGAUGUGUUCUGUUAUGAAAUACUUAUUUUUUGGUAACGAUUUGUUUCCCGCCGUCUCACUCCCUGCACAGCUCUCGCGGCCGACUCGGCGGCCGCCGGGACCGAGUCGGCCGCACAGUAGGCGGUCAAACCCCCGCGGCGGGAAGGAAGUGCAGUGGAGUCGCCGCGGGCUCCCGUUCUGUCUUUUCAGCCGCGAGAAUGACAGCUGCAGCGGGACGCCUGGAGGUCAAGACCGACGACAGGAACAUGACAGGAGCUGCAGCUGUGACUGCCGGUUGAGCGAUGGAUGGCAGGAAGACCUUGGCCUGAAGACCCUUCCUCCCCACAAGCCUGCUCCUGGGCCUGCAGGUCUAUGUUAGAAACAUUCAUUCCUUUGCCACUGUCCUUGCUAGGAAGGCCUUUCAGGAUUUUGAGCAAAGUUAUGACCCAGUCUGACUGAUGUUAUGACCAUUUCCCUUCUCAACUGGGAAUUGACUGUGGAUGGAGGGAGGAGUGACACCAAGAGCCAAAGCAGGGAGACAGGUACACCCGUUGAGAGGCUCCUGCAAUC
This 1090-nucleotide long non-coding RNA is filed under the name Mustela putorius furo (domestic ferret). RNAcentral describes it as "lncRNA (ENSMPUG00000028850.1)". Lineage: Eukaryota; Metazoa; Chordata; Mammalia; Carnivora; Mustelidae. The record is from RNAcentral.